Molecule: long non-coding RNA, 1118 nt
Filed under: Macaca mulatta (Rhesus monkey)
Lineage: Eukaryota; Metazoa; Chordata; Mammalia; Primates; Cercopithecidae
Description: lncRNA (ENSMMUG00000056549.1)
Source: RNAcentral
AACUUUUUCAGCAAAUCCAGCGUAUUUUUUUAACCUCUCAUUUUUUGCCCCCCUGCAAUUGUGACAUGUCUACAUGAAAUUGGCCACAGGAAGGAAGCCCUGUUGGAGAAGCUAUUUUCUGAACAUCCCUUUAUACCCUCGAUUUCACAACAUGCAGACAUUUAGGUUGAGAGACUGGGACUUCAGGCCCUAAUGGCAGCUAUAAUUUGGAAGUCAAAUGCAGCAGGGAGCGCUUAGAGCUGAUGCAUGAUUCCCGCACACAGACAGCCAAGGUGAGACUGGGGCCUGGCUGCUGCGGAAGUGAGGAACAGACGUUGGAGCAGGAGAGAUGGAUAAGGAGAGUCCAGUCUGUGUGUUCAAGGAAGCAAAGGGAUGAAGACUCACCUGGUGUGGAGAAAAGCAAAGAAAUCCUGAAAAUGUUCAUUGGUUUGGCAGUGGAGGGACGGCCACACACGCUCCUGUUAGACUGGGUAACGGGGCAGCUCUGUCUUGAGGGAGGAGGAAUUGGGGACAGUGACAGGCCCUGUCUUGGGGUCCACUGUGCUAUUUCCAAGGGUAGCAGUGGCUUCCUGGAAGCUGCGGUCUGAGCUGUGCUCCUGGCUGUGAUGUUCCCUUCCCACCCGCGGAUGCCACCCAUGGAGAACCCUGCUCUUGCCAUGUCUGCCCUGGAUACACUUUUCGGUCAUGUGCCACCUGGAAGCAAAGGAUGCAGGUCAGCAUUCACGGGAGCAGACACAGAUGGCCCAGGCUGCAGGUCCUGGCUGCUCAUUGGAGAAUGCAGCUUGGAAAGUACACGCUGAUGUGGCCGCUGAGAACCAACACGCCUUUGACCACGUGGUCAGAUCCCUCUCGGAAGAAGAGAAACUGAGACGCUCAUGAGGAGAGAGCUGCCACGAGCUGGCUGGGGCAUGGGGGUGGGGAGGAGGUGUCAGGAAAACUGUAAAGUUUCUGCGGCAUGUUUUGCUUUUGCUCACCUAGAUUUAGAGGAAUCCUCUGGGAAAACGAAACUGAAAUCUUACUUCCCCACUGGCAGCCUCCUGGUGGCCACAGGAUAUGGACUUGACCUUGGUUAUAGGCAUGUCAGUGGCUUCCACUGCAUGGUGAUUUUUGGGGGGUCA